Molecule: transfer RNA, 73 nt
Filed under: Candidatus Kaiserbacteria bacterium RIFCSPHIGHO2_01_FULL_49_13
Lineage: Bacteria; Candidatus Kaiseribacteriota
Description: tRNA-Arg
Rfam family: tRNA
About the family: Transfer RNA (tRNA) molecules are approximately 80 nucleotides in length. Their secondary structure includes four short double-helical elements and three loops (D, anti-codon, and T loops). Further hydrogen bonds mediate the characteristic L-shaped molecular structure. tRNAs have two regions of fundamental functional importance: the anti-codon, which is responsible for specific mRNA codon recognition, and the 3' end, to which the tRNAs corresponding amino acid is attached (by aminoacyl-tRNA synthetases). tRNAs cope with the degeneracy of the genetic code in two manners: having more than one tRNA (with a specific anti-codon) for a particular amino acid; and 'wobble' base-pairing, i.e. permitting non-standard base-pairing at the 3rd anti-codon position.
Source: RNAcentral
GCGCCUGUAGCUCAACGGAUAGAGCAUCUCGCUUCGGACGAGAAGGUUCCGGGUUCGAGUCCUGGCAGGCGCA